This is a non-coding RNA of Punica granatum (pomegranate), 780 nucleotides long. Lineage: Eukaryota; Viridiplantae; Streptophyta; Magnoliopsida; Myrtales; Lythraceae. The record is from RefSeq and is a predicted model, not a curated record.
GAGGAGGGGGCCCGGCGGGCCAGCUGUGGUGGCCUCGAUUGCGGCCACCACCCCCUCAAUCGGGGUUGGCAGCCAUCACAGAGGUCGCCGCAGACCCCGAUUGGGGGGUGGUUGCCGCAAUAGAGGCCACCGCCGCCGGCUUGCCGGCCCCCUCCUCCCUUUGUCUUCAGCUUAUCCUUCCCCUCCCUUUUUUUUUUAAAAAAAAAUUUUCUGAAUUUUUUUUAUUAAAUAAAAAAAAUGUGGGGUCCUUUUAUCGAAUAAUAUGGAGCCAAAUAGUUUCAGCUCUGAUCAGCUGCCAGUCCAACGGAGGAAGGAGAGUAGCAGCUUGUGGUGCCGAGGUCAAACACUGACUCGAUGAGCGCUUUCCUCUCUGCUUGCCUCAAGAAGCUCUGCGACGCGGUUUGUCGGUUCUCUCCCAGCUCCAGAACUCAUCCUCUCAGGUCUUUGGAGGAAUCGUUAUGGUUUCUAUACAAGUAUGUCCAGGAAACCGCAGAGAGAAUGGAGCAGAUGGAUCAAAUUCUCGUCUCGAUGGUCGAGCAUGUACGAAGUUAAUCGCACUACCAUGCAUUAGAUUAUUGGUGUGAACUCUUCUGAUGCAAAUGUGUUCCACUUGCGAAUUGUCUGAGCAAUUUCAAUUAAUCGCUAUGGGGGAUCAUCAAAUCAUCAUGUCUAAUUUUUUCUUGUAAAUAAUUUUUUUUUCGAUUACAAGAGAGAUUUAUAUAUGUAGUAUAAUGGAAUAGAAAUUCUGUAAAUUAUAUCGACCGUAAGCUCACCGCGUCA